AACGUGAUUUAGAGGAACACUGUGAUGACGGGACCAGGUCUACACCCCAGCCAAACUUUGCUCACUUGGACAGUAGCCAGAGUGUUCCCUUCAUGUCCGACACCUCGUUGCUCAUGUCCCUAGCCAAGUCCCCUGCAAUGGAUGUUCUCAUCCAAGCCCAACGUCUAA
This 168-nucleotide long non-coding RNA is filed under the name Mus spicilegus (steppe mouse). RNAcentral describes it as "lncRNA (ENSMSIG00000009182.1)". The record is from RNAcentral. Lineage: Eukaryota; Metazoa; Chordata; Mammalia; Rodentia; Muridae.